Long non-coding RNA from Cyprinus carpio carpio, 1152 nucleotides. The record is from Ensembl. NCBI's taxonomy places the organism in Eukaryota, Metazoa, Chordata, Actinopteri, Cypriniformes, Cyprinidae.
GUUGUCUACGUGGGAGAAGCUGAGACUGCCAUAUAUUGGCAAAAGGUUCAAAUCGAAUGCUGAUAAACCCUUAAUGGAUAGAGGAACGUCAGCUGUACUUAUACCAUAGUUUUGAUUAACUUGAGUGUGCUCCACCUGUGCUAAUUAGGCUAAGUAUCUGACGAGCUUCUCCCGAACCUUGUUAAUAAAUCAUCAUUAAAAUGCAAGGAGUCAAGCUUCUUAAAGUUUGUUCAGUUCUAGCUCUAAUAUUUGUCAUCUUUAGUUCAUUUGCACUUCAGAACUCAGCAGAAAUUUGCUCAGACACAGAGUUUGGCUCAAAAGGACUUGCUGAUAUUGACCUGUAUUCAUCCUUCAGGAUGAAUGUGUUUGAGGAAGGCAUCUGAGAGCUUACAAACAGGCCUCGGUGAUGGUGCUGCCUCUCUUUGAGCUGCGCCUCUCCAGAUCCAGACGAGCCCCAGCAGAUUCACAGCUUAUUGUGUGAGUCAAGGCUACGGCAUACAGCUCGUAUAAUAUUCAAGCUGAAGAUCCAGUGGGAGAUGCGCCAUUGAGACUUAAUGGCACAGAUUUGGACGAGCGCUUUCUUUCCUGUCACUUUGCGAAUGUGUUUUUGUGCGCUGCUGAUUGGAUUUGUGAAAUAGAAUAGUACAUCAAGAAAAAUAUUUUAGCUUUCAGUUACAAAAGAGCUCUGCUUAAAAGGUAGCAGAGCAGAUGUUACUGCCUAAGACUAUUGUGUCCCAUAAAUUUGUACAUUUUAGUAGAUGCCUUUUCUGCAUUCAAGGUUUGCUUUUUACCAGUUUGUGCAUUUCCUGAGAAUCGAACCUGUGACCUUGUAGUCACAGCUUCAUUGUUUGCAUCGGUUUUGUUGCAACAAAUUCAAUUAUCAUGUUUCAGGUGCCUUAAAAACCUUGUUUGUUUAUCACAUUUGUCAAAUAAACCUAAUUUCAGCAUUGUUUUCAGCAUAAAAACCCUGACAGUCCAGUGGGUCUCAACCGAUGAGUCUCAAACAAAAUUACUGAAUGGUCAAUACAAGAAAUUAAUGCAACAAAUUGUGCUGCAUGAGUACUGAAGUACAGCUCACAAAAUAUGUUGACUUAUAAACUUUGAAAUGUUAAGACAAAAUGCUCUCAGUAUCUUCAUUGUCACGUUAAAGUC